AAGUUUCAACAGCUGCUGCAACCGGCUGCUUGGUUACACAAUGAAAAAUAAUUUCUGAUCUCUGAAUCUCUUUGUCUUUGUUUCUCCACCGCUGUCCAGACCACCUCUAAUAACAUCCAGGCCAUAGCGGGGAGACCUGAAGAGAAAAACAUAAACAAAGGUGUGUUUGUGCUGCAGCUGGGAAACACCUGCUGAGCUGCCUGGAUGACCUUAACAUACCUGCACCUGAUCACUGAGGCUCCAAGUGUAGGACAUGUUCUUGCUGGCGUCCAUGGGGUCGGCUGGUGGAGGGGUGUCUCACAUCUCUGAUACUCAGUGCUCUGUCAGAGUCUGCCAGGGAAGACAAUGUGGUGGAAUACCCCAAGUCCUUGUUCAGCGUCCUGAUAGAGCGAGGGAAUACAACGCAGUCGGAGAGGC
Molecule: long non-coding RNA, 417 nt
Filed under: Cottoperca gobio
Lineage: Eukaryota; Metazoa; Chordata; Actinopteri; Perciformes; Bovichtidae
Description: lncRNA (ENSCGOG00000005004.1)
Source: RNAcentral